GUCUAUGGUCAUACCAACCUAGGUGACCUGAUCUCAUCUGACCGCAGAAGCUAAGCAGGGUCAGGCCUGGUUAGUACUUGAAUGGGAGAAGAGUGGUUUAAAUGAGAUAGAAAAAUAUGAAGUGAUAGUGG
This is a ribosomal RNA of Cricetulus griseus (Chinese hamster), 131 nucleotides long. Lineage: Eukaryota; Metazoa; Chordata; Mammalia; Rodentia; Cricetidae. The record is from Ensembl.